CCUGGGUGCAGUGAUGCACACCUGUAAUCCCAGUGGCUGGGAAGGCUGAGGCAGGAGGAUAGCAAGUUUGAGACCAGCCUCAGCAACUUAGUGAGACCCUGUCUCAA
RNAcentral lists this small RNA (107 nucleotides) under Marmota monax (woodchuck). The record is from RNAcentral. Lineage: Eukaryota; Metazoa; Chordata; Mammalia; Rodentia; Sciuridae.